Molecule: ribosomal RNA, 253 nt
Filed under: uncultured bacterium
Lineage: Bacteria
Description: partial 16S ribosomal RNA
Rfam family: Bacterial small subunit ribosomal RNA
Source: RNAcentral
UACGAAAGGAGCAAGUGUUAUUCAGAUUAACUGGGCGUAAAGGGCACGUAGGUGGUUUGUUUAUGUGUAUUAUUAAAUUAUAAAGCAUAACUUUAUAAUGUAGUAUAAACAGCAAAACUAGAGGUAGGUAGGGGAGAUCGGAAUUCCUGGUGUAGCGGUGAAAUGCGCAGAUAUCAGGAGGAACACCGAUGGCGAAGGCAGCUCGCUGGGACGGUACUGACGCUGAGACGCGAAAGCGUGGGGAGCAAACAGG